Molecule: ribosomal RNA, 590 nt
Filed under: uncultured marine eukaryote
Lineage: Eukaryota
Description: SSU rRNA
Rfam family: Eukaryotic small subunit ribosomal RNA
Source: RNAcentral
UACCUGGUUGAUCCUGCCAGUAGUCAUAUGCUUGUCUUAAAGAUUAAGCCAUGCAUGUCUAAGUAUAAGCAUUUAUACCGCGAGACUGCGAACGGCUCAUUAAAACAGUUAUGGUUUAUUUGAUGGUUCCUUUGCUACUUGGAUAACCGUAGUAAUUCUAGAGCUAAUACAUGCACGAAGGGGCGACUUACGAAGCCCUGUAUUUAUUAGAUUAAAGCCAACCACCUCCGGGUGUUCGUGGUGAAUCAUAGUAACUUCUCGGAUCGCCGGCCCUGCGCCAGCGACGUGUCACUCAAAUUUCUGCCCUAUCAGCUUUAGAUGGUAGGAUAUGGGCCUACCAUGGCGGUGACGGGUAACGGAGAAUUAGGGUUCGAUUCCGGAGAGGGAGCCUGAGAAACGGCUACCACUUCUAAGGAAGGCAGCAGGCGCGCAAAUUACCCAAUCCUGACUCAGGGAGGUAGUGACAAGAAAUAACAAUAAACCGGCUUAUGCCGGUUUAAUUGGAAUGAGUACAAUUUAAACAUCUUAACGAGGAACAAUUGGAGGGCAAGUCUGGUGCCAGCAGCCGCGGUAAUUCCAGCUCCAAUAGC